GCAAGUUGUUCAGACACUGUCUCUCUUUCAGAGCCACACAGUGAGGUGGAAGGAUGUGUGCUACAGUGACAGGCAGUUUCAAUUCAUUUGUGCCAGCAGAAGGCCCAAAAGAAUAAUUGCUGGGUCUCUUAUCGCCCUCUCAAAGUCCCAUUCUGUAACUUCUCAUAAUUACCAAGCGCCAGGUUGGACUAACGCACUGGGUGGAGAACACAAUGAAAGGCGGCAGCAGUGCACGAUGCCGCUGC
This is a long non-coding RNA of Columba livia (rock pigeon), 245 nucleotides long. RefSeq lists it as uncharacterized. Lineage: Eukaryota; Metazoa; Chordata; Aves; Columbiformes; Columbidae. The record is from RefSeq and is a predicted model, not a curated record. The transcript has 3 exons.